Molecule: long non-coding RNA, 1374 nt
Organism: Orcinus orca (killer whale)
Lineage: Eukaryota; Metazoa; Chordata; Mammalia; Artiodactyla; Delphinidae
Exons: 4
Source: RefSeq, a predicted model, not a curated record
GACAGUGCCUCCACAACACCCGCGCUCAAUAAGCCUCUGCCUCCAGGAAGCCCUUCGGGAGCGGGCCGCCUGCGCGGCGCCGGCUCAGACCAGGCCGGUAGUCAGCCACAUGCGUCCCGCACCCUCGCACGGGCCGCAGUCGCCCAACAGGCCCUUGGGCGUGAAGGCGUGGAGUUAGCUUUUCCCGCCCCACCCAGGGCACAGCCUCGGGCUAAGGCGCCCGCGAGGUUCCGGAGGGAACCAGGGAGGCCCGGCCCCUCCAGCCGGGGCCUCGCUCAAGUUCUUCUUGGCCGCCUCCAGCUCGCUCACAAAGGUCGCCAUUGCUCCCCACGUCUCAGCCCGACCUCAGACCCCUCGGCCACAACGACCAGCAACCGAAAAACCAACUCCGCGAAGGCUUCGGCUCUGGAGGCUCCGUCUUCUCCCGCCUGCCCCGCCCCCAAGCUCUGAGAAGACGUUUGUUUGGUUUUCGGCUCCGCCCGCCUUUCUGGAGAGAAAGUGCUGAGCCAAACUCGGUGUUUUUGUGGUCCUCCUGCUCCCGCCCCCUCACAUCACGUGAUCCGCUUCACCUAGCGCUCCCGCGCCCCACCUAAACCCGCCGCGCCCGGCCCGGGCUGCAGCGUCACCUGCAGGGCUGGCGUAUCCCGGGCUCUCAGUCUUACCGCUGCGGAAGUUCCGAAUUCGGUCCUUUACCUGGAUGAAUAUCUUCCCCCUCCAGGUCAAAAAAGACUCCUUCAGGCUUCUGCACUCCUUCAGCAAAUAUAUAGUGAAUUCCUAUUAUGCGCCUGGCAAUCUUUUGGGUCCUGGGGAUACAAAGAUGAACAAGUCAGCCUGUGCUAUUCUAUGACGCAGACGGUGUUCUUAUGCUCAUUCAAAAACGGGGAAACCAAGCCUCAGAAAGACUCCAUGACUUGCCUAAAUCCACAGAGCUGGAAAAUAGCAAAGAUGGGAUUUGAACCCAAGAAGUCUUACUCUGGGAACUGGACAUUUCACCCCUGUGCUGGGGUAGAAGGGUGAGAGAAGUCUGUGAUGAUCUCCUAGGACUCAGGUUAACUAACUGGGAUUAGUGACUCCAUCAACACAGGUAGGAAAACUAGGUCAAAGGGCAGGCCUUUUGUUUUUGGGGUGGCAUGGCUAGUGUAAGUUACCGUUACUCCUAUGUUAAAACUCCCAGUUUAUCUCUAAGGGUAAUGUAAAGAUUGCUUCUUUUCUGUUUUCCUGCCUUCUUUAUUCUGCCUUUGUAGCAACUCUUAACUCUGAUUUUUAGACUGCAAUACACCAAACUCUUCCUAAAGAAAUAUAAAAGGAUAGGUGGAACACACCCAAAGAAGAUUCAAAAUCAGACAUGAAGCACUGAUAGCUUCAUAGCUUUGU